AGGGGAACGGGGGAGGGAGAUAAGGGGGGAGGAGGAGGAGGAGGAGGAGGAGGUGGGAUCGAUGGCGUGCCCGCCGCUCUGAGAUUGGUUUCCCGAUCGCGUUCCGGCCGCAGGUCCAGCCAAUGGCUUAGAUAUCUCAAGCUGUUACUUAUGGUGGAUGAGGAAAACCAACUCCAACUCUUGAAGAAUUAAAAGUUUCUCCUGCUUCAGUUUCUACUGCCGUUGAGAAACAUCAACUCGUUGGUGGGACAAAUCAUCCUGAGUUGUUUAUAAGUCAGCUACUUUGAGAAGACAAUGUCAGCUUCAGAGUUCAGGAUUCCUUACCAGCCAGUAUCAUCUUCGCAGCCUUCGGAGAAUGCAGGUCAGUUCAAGAUAUGCCGAUGUGGGGAGGGAGACCCGAACUCCCAGACUGGUGAAGGGGAUAGUCCACCAACCGCAUGUCCUAACUGCCAGGUUCUUAAGAGUGGACAUUUACUGCUUUCAUCUAAAGGUAUGU
Long non-coding RNA from Hordeum vulgare subsp. vulgare (domesticated barley), 496 nucleotides. RefSeq lists it as uncharacterized. Lineage: Eukaryota; Viridiplantae; Streptophyta; Magnoliopsida; Poales; Poaceae. The record is from RefSeq and is a predicted model, not a curated record. The transcript has 5 exons.